This 106-nucleotide transfer RNA is filed under the name archaeon. Its description in RNAcentral is "tRNA-Asp". The record is from RNAcentral.
GCCCCGGUAGUGUAGCGGUCUAGCAUACGGCCCUGUCGAGGCUGUGACCCGGGUUCAAAAGGCCGACACGUUUGACGUGUCUCUGUGAUUCCCGGCUGGGGCGCCA